ACUGGCUCCACACAGUCAAAACUCACCAUCCUCUUCUCCCUUGAGCCACUGAAAAUAACAGAAUUUCCUUCCUCCACUCCCAUUCCCUUUCAGUGUUGCCCUAUAAGCCAGUGUUCCUACUGCAGCCAAAUGGAUCAUCAUUUUCUCUACUUUCCUAUUUGAGACAUUUCCCUUUGGCUUCCACUGUAAGUAUACGUGAACUGAGAGCUCUUCACUGUGGUCUGUGAGGCCCUGUAUGAUGCAGCCUUCCUCACUCUCUUCAAUUUCAUCUUCCACCACUCCACCAGACUCCAACCAUGCCAGUCACUCUGAUGCAUCUCAAACAUCAAAUGCUUCUCCAUUCAUUCCUCAUUCAUGAGUCCUCUGGUUCCUCGCUGUCUGAACUACUGGCCUUGUUCUCUCAUUUGAAAUAUCACCUCCUCAGAGUGGCCUUCACUAACUACCUCAUCACCUUCCACCUCAUAAUCCUAUUUUUUACAGUCUUUCUUUAUUUGUGCCUCUGAAUACUAUCUAUUGCUACUAGAAUACAAACUCCUGGGCAGCAAGGAUCUUGUAUCUCUGGUAUGGACAUGUACCAAAAGACAUCUGGUAAACAUUUGUCACAUGAAUGAAUGAAUGAAUGAAUGAAUGAAUGAAUCAGUGUCACAGUCACUUCAACGCCUUUCUAAAACAGUUCCUGGCUGAUAUGACAUCACUAACUCUCUUCUAAUGGACAUGAUGAAGAAACAGCGAAAUACGUACUGAGUCCUGAAUACAUGCCACACCCUCAAUAACUACAGAGAUGAACAAGAGGAGCCAUUUAACUUUGGUGCUUUCUUCUCUUUAAAAAUGGAGGUA
Long non-coding RNA from Perognathus longimembris pacificus (Pacific pocket mouse), 837 nucleotides. RefSeq lists it as uncharacterized. Lineage: Eukaryota; Metazoa; Chordata; Mammalia; Rodentia; Heteromyidae. The transcript is spliced from 3 exons. The record is from RefSeq and is a predicted model, not a curated record.